GUAAUAUUGCAAUAUAACGUAUUUUUAGAAAAGGGAUGUGGUAAAAGUAGAAAAAAGGGCUCUAACAUGCAACACUAGAUUAAAAUAAGUUACAGACACAGAACACAACAGUGAGCAGAUGAGAAGCAGAAGGACAAUAGACGGGCUUUGCAGGGACAAAACGCUACCAACAUGUGUGCAAGAUGAACAUCUUAGAUCAUCAUGUUUUCUACUCUGGAGUACAUCAUUCUCACAUUUUUUAAAAAAUGCUGUUAUUAAUUCUUUUUUAAAACACAAAAAAAGAACCCAACUCUUAGACCUCAUUGGCUAUUCAAGUUAGGCUUUAUUUCUUUUCCUUACAAUAAAACUCUCCUCUUCCCUUUCAUUUUCCUUUGAACUAACUUCAUUCCGGCUCUCUGUUGUCUUCAGCCUCCACCACAGUUGCUUUAGACACGGUGACUGAUGAUAUCAGGACUGCUUAUCCAACCGCCAGUGCCAGGCCUUGCUCUGUUUAACCUUGGCCUUUGAGGUACCUGAUCAUCUCUGCUAUCCUCAGGCCGUUCUCCUCAUUUUCCUACUAUCUUAUCAGCCGCUUACUCUUACUCUGUUCCAGUUGCUGGUUUCUUCUUUUCUUUCUGACCUCUGGAUGUUUCUCCCUACCUGUAAGCCUGCUGGCUUAGUCCUUGAACCUCUUUUCUCAUCCCUGUAAGCUCACUGGUGGUGAUGCCCAGCUUAAUGGUGUAAACACCGUCUCUACGGUUUCAGAAUGUUAACAUAGUGUACGUCACCAACACAUGUCUGAGCAAAGUCCAGCAGUGUUCUCAAUACUGCACACAGAUGUCUGAUGGGUGCCUCAAUCUUCCUGAGCUCAAAAGGCAACUCCUGAUCCUUCCUCUAAAGCUGGUCCCUCCCAUGUGCCUUCUUCCAUCUAGAUAAAUGGCGACUGCGUUUUCCACUUCCUCAGGCCAAAAAACAUGAGGCAUUGCAUUAGAAGAAUCUUGUGAAAUAUGAGAAAAAGUGCAUCAGUCCCUUGCUGCUGCAGGGACGCCAUGAGAGCCAACGCCGGAAGAGCACACUCCUGGAUGGCUCCCUGCCCUGUGCAUGGCUUGCUCCCUACCCCAUUCUCACUUGUGGAGGUUCAAACGCCCCCUUGAGGACUAUUCAUGGGAUGCUUCUUUACCGUUAAACGUAUCUUCCUUCCACCAGCAGCACUUUCUGUCUGCCCUUCCUGAAUUAUUUCCAUAGCAUGCGUCAUCAUUUAGGAUACUGUGUAAUUUACUUCUGUUUUCUAUGAGUACCUGUUUCCACUAUUAUUAUAGAACGUAACUCAGAAGAGAUUUUGGCUUGCGUGUGUGUUUUCCUCCAUACUGUAUCCUUUGUGCAUAGAAGAGUGUUAGAGCCUAAGAGAUCGUAAAAUCAAUAAGAGAUUAAAUAAUUAUUUGAAUACUCAAAACCUCUAGGUAAGGAAUUGUGGGUGAGUCAAAGAUUAAAAAUAUGUAUCCCUAACCUGUUUUCUCCCUCCAGGGGCUUCUCUUGUAAAAGUUACCCAAACCUCCUUGUUGAUAAGAGUGAAGGACCUUUCACAGUCCACGCGUUUCUCUCUGCAGAACUAGCUGUUAUCUCUUCUCU
This 1608-nucleotide long non-coding RNA is filed under the name Homo sapiens (human). RNAcentral describes it as "HSALNT0344709". The record is from RNAcentral. Lineage: Eukaryota; Metazoa; Chordata; Mammalia; Primates; Hominidae.